GGCUCAGAACGAACGCUGGCGGCGUGCCUAACACAUGCAAGUCGAGCGAGAAAGUUCCCGCAAGGGGAUGAGUACAGCGGCGAACGGGUGAGUAACACGUGGGCAACCUACCCCUCAGUCAGGAAUAACCCCGCGAAAGCGGGGCUAAUACCAAGAUGACGUCCCUUGGGGGCAUCCUCGGGGGACCAAAGGGGGCGAGCGCAAGCGGCUCUCGCUGAGGGAUGGGCCUGCGGCUGAUUAGCUAGUUGGUGGGGUAACGGCCCACCAAGGCGACGAUCAGUAGCCGACCUGAGAGGGUGACCGGCCACACUGGGACUGAGACACGGCCCAGACUCCUACGGGAGGCAGCAGUGGGGAAUAUUGCGCAAUGGGCGAAAGCCUGACGCAGCGACGCCGCGUGGGUGAUGAAGGCCUUCGGGUCGUAAAACCCUGUCGGGUGGAACGAAUUUCCGCCACGCUAAUACCGAGGCGGAUUGACGGUACCACCGAAGGAAGCCCCGGCUAACUACGUGCCAGCAGCCGCGGUAAUACGUAGGGGGCGAGCGUUGUUCGGAUUUACUGGGCGUAAAGAGCGCGUAGGCGGUUCGAUAAGUCGGAGGUGAAAUCCCUCGGCUCAACCGAGGACCCGCGUCCGAUACUGUCGAACUUGAGUGCAGGAGAGGAGAGCGGAAUUCCCAGUGUAGCGGUGAAAUGCGUAGAUAUUGGGAGGAACACCGGUGGCGAAGGCGGCUCUCUGGACUGUUACUGACGCUGAGGCGCGAAAGCUAGGGGAGCAAACGGGAUUAGAUACCCCGGUAGUCCUAGCCGUAAACGAUGGGCACUAGGUGUGGGAGGUAUCGACCCCUUCCGUGCCGCAGCUAACGCAUUAAGUGCCCCGCCUGGGGAGUACGGCCGCAAGGGUGAAACU
RNAcentral lists this ribosomal RNA (907 nucleotides) under uncultured bacterium. RNAcentral's name for it is "bacterial SSU rRNA". It matches the Rfam family "Bacterial small subunit ribosomal RNA", at positions 21 to 901 of the family's 1533-position model. The record is from RNAcentral.